UACGUAGGUGACAAGCGUUGUCCGGAUUUACUGGGCGUAAAGAGCGCGCAGGCGGUCGAUCAAGUCGAGUGUGAAAGCCCCCGGCUCAACUGGGGAGGGUCAUUCGAUACUGAUCGACUCGAAGGCAGGAGAGGGAAGUGGAAUUCCCGGUGUAGCGGUGAAAUGCGUAGAGAUCGGGAGGAACACCAGUGGCGAAGGCGGCUACCUGGACCAGCACUGACACUGAGGCACGAAAGCGUGGGGAGCAAACAGG
This 253-nucleotide ribosomal RNA is filed under the name uncultured bacterium. Its description in RNAcentral is "partial 16S ribosomal RNA". It matches the Rfam family "Bacterial small subunit ribosomal RNA", at positions 524 to 776 of the family's 1533-position model. The record is from RNAcentral.